UGCUGAUGUUGCACACGGACCGAACUAUCCCUGCGCGCCUCACGGCGCUUCAUUGUCCCGCACGUCACCCAGGGAAUGGGAUCGAUCCGUAUCCUCACGGUUCGGGGUGUACAGUGAGAGUCUGGGCUCCUUUCCCUGACCAUCGGGAAUGCGAUACUCUAGAGUUGGAGAGGUGAGUCAGGGAGAGUGAAGCGAGGCUCAGGGACAAAGUUCCGACAGUAUCAGUCACAACUGCUCUACGCUUGGUGGACAUAGAUCAGGGGCCUAAAGAUUUAAUCACUGUGGAGGAUUUCUUACUCUUGGAGGAUCAUGUCUUUCCUGAACUGAAGGUCACUCUACUUGGCAGUGAGAGAUGGCAAUGGUCUGGAACGUAUUAACUCAGAAGUGAAGAGAUGCAUGAUGUCUUGGCAUGUAUAAAAGUCAAAAGAUACCUAGAGCCUGAAGAAAUAUAUCCCAGGAUGUUAUAGGAGUUAAGCGGGCAGGCAAUGGCUGGGACACCACUGGUCAUUUUUACAUCUUUGUUUGCCCAGGUACAGAAGUCUGGGCCGGCAGUUUGACCAAUUGCUGCCAGGUUUGUCAAUGUAUCUUUUCAGUAACAUUGGAGAGUGAAGACGGGACCCUGAAGGAGACAUUCGACAGGUUUGGAAAGGAUCGACCAUUAUUGAAUUCAUUCAAGAAAGAGUGAUCUGCAUGAGAUAGCCUCUUCUAAAAAGGCAGCAGAAAAGGCUGUGCAGUAUCCAGGAGGGAAAGGUCAGUGCCUUUAAAACCGUUUUAUUUCCGUCGUCGUGAAUCCUGUGGACAAGGCAGGAUCCGGCUGGGAGUGGCAGUGACGUCAUGUCUUCGAGGAAUUCGUAACUUUAUAGAAGUCUCUCCUAAUUGACUAUAUAAAUCUCUUGGACUUUAAAAUUCACCGUGCGAAGAACUAUGUUUAAAUUUAUCGCUUUAAGAACUGGUUUCGCAUUUAUUGCUUUAAGAGCUAAUACUGAGUAGCAGUUUAAUGAAUGGCCGCAUAGCAGUUUACUUCCAGUUAGGGUUUUUGUUUGGUUUUUUUUCAUUGUUUAUCAGGGUUUAAUAAAGGCUUGUUCGUUUAUAAAUCCUGACUCCAUAUAUUCAUUGUUGCC
This is a long non-coding RNA of Mobula hypostoma (lesser devil ray), 1121 nucleotides long. RefSeq lists it as uncharacterized. The record is from RefSeq and is a predicted model, not a curated record. The transcript is spliced from 4 exons. Lineage: Eukaryota; Metazoa; Chordata; Chondrichthyes; Myliobatiformes; Myliobatidae.